AAUUAGAGUCAUAAAUCUAGCUUUAUCCUAAGAUUGAGAUCUCGUAUUUAUCUCAAAAUUAAAAUUUGUCAUUCCAAAUUCUUGUGCAUCUAUGGACAAAUUAGGAUAUGCUAGAAACCUCAUCUUCGUCUCAAUUUAAAAUAUAGUUCCAAAUUUUAUAAAAAGAAAUCAUCAAAUUUUUAUCCUCAAAUCAAAGUAAGUUGAGGAUAAAACCUUAAACUUUUCUCAAAUUAAGGAUGGACAAUAUUCCAACCUUUAUUUCAAAUUUAAAUCAAACUCAUGUAUUAGAUUCAUAGUUUGAUUAAUUCGAUAUGUCAAAUUGAGCAAAAAAAUGUUCGUAUUUAGACUUUAAAUUUAUCUUUUCGAGAUUCACCCACCCAUACAUGUGCAUAAAUCUCGAAAAGGUGCAUUUGUUAAAUAAGAAACUUUGGAACCAAUUACAAAUUGUCAGGUCAUUUCCUAAAAUAAUUGUAUUUGAGAUUAACUAAAAAUCAGCAUGUGUCCCAAAUUAAAUUUAAAUACAAAUUGGACAAUUCUAAUGAUGUCAUAUGUCUUUAUCAUGAGAAUUAGAUCAAAUUAAUUAUUUUGGUUCAAUUAAAUAUUAUUUACUUGAGCUAAAAUUCAAUUGAGCCAAAAAUGAGCUUAAUUUAUCCCAAAAUUAAAUAUGACCCAAAUCUAUGUGAUUGAGCCCACGGGUAUGAUCUAUGGACCAGACCAGGCCCAAGUUCAUAAAAACCCCACCAGGAAACUCUAUAAAUAGAGGAGUUCUCUUCAUUUGUGGGAGAAAAUUUUUUACUCCAGAAGGUCUAGAGAGAAUUCUCCCAAAAGCUAGAAGACUAAGUCGACCACUCUCGAAGAUUGAAACUCCUUUGAAGAUACAAGCUUUCUUCUAAGACUCCAACUUUAAAAACAUCAUGUGCUCUGCUUCCUCAAAUCAAGUAUAAGCAUCCAGCCGAGAGAGAAUCAAAGGAUCAAAUUCUAGAGAUCGAACCACAUUGCAUCAAAUCAACAUGAAUACAACAUCAACACAAGUUCAACUCCAGGAAUCAAAUUUCUCCGAAAAUCUCAUGUGAAAAAAUAUCAUUUGAAAAGAAAUAAGAUUAAUGGUUAUUUUUUCUUUAAAAAAUAGAGAUAUCCACACAUAAUGGAUCAUUCUACCAAACAGUGCCUAUUGUAUUCCUUCCACAAUAUUCAUGAAUUUUAUCUUUCCUUAAUUACUGCUCAAUUGUGUUUUUGUUAUCUUAUAUUUGUUUAAAUUAAAUUAGCUUCACAAUAUUCAUUCAUUUUAUGAUUACUUACAUUUUAAACAAGAGGUUUUUUAAAAAUUAUAACAAACCGACAAAAUAUUUACGCUGUAUAGAACAAUUUUGAAAACGAAAAAAGCCACAAGCCCACAAUGUAAAAUACCAAAAUUCUCUAAUCAACACGCGAUAAAUCAGCUACUCAGGCGGGAUAUACGAUUGUGUGGAUUUUGAUACACGAUCUCGGGCAUACCAUACCCCGAGAAGAAAAACAAUCCUUUAGUUAUUAGAUCUCAGGCCUUAGUGGCAUCGAGAUAGCCCGGGAUGAAAGAAUUCUGCCUUUAUUUUAUUCGAUAUCAGGCUAAAAUGCUUCAAGAUGUUCAGGAUGAAAGACUUCUACCUUUAGUUAUCUAAUCUUGGGCAUACAAUGCAUCGAGAUGGCUUGAGAUGAAAGACAAAAGUGUAGAUCUACACGAUCAUGUACUUCAUUUUAAACGAUUGUUUCAAAUUUAAACAAUUGUGUAGAUCAUGAUACACGAUCUCGGGUCUUAGUUGCACCGAGAUGUCCUGAGAUGAAAGAAUUCUACAUUUAAUUCAUUCCAUCUCAGGUACACAAUACCCCAAGAUGUCCUAGAAAGAAAGAAUUCUCCCUUUAGUUAUUGGAUCUUGGGCCUUAGUGGCACUGAAUGGCCCGGGAUCAAAUAAUUCUACCUUUAUUUUAUUUAAUCUCGGACAUACAUUACCUUGAGAUACCUCGGGAUGAAAAACUUCUGCAUUUAGCUAUUUGAUCUUGGACCUUAAUUGCACCGAGAUGACCCGAAAUUAAUAAAUCGCAAAGAAGAUAUAAAUCGCAAGGGCAUAUAUGGAAAUUUAUGAAAAAAUGAUCGCAUGUCAUGAACUUUUCUUAUUUUGUAAUAAGAGUCGUAAAUAUUUUAGAUUUUGUUACAUUUAUGUAAAUUAACUUUUAAACAAAGAGAUUAUGAGUUAAUUUCGGUGAUUAAGUAUAUUGAGACAAAGUUUAUCGCAAUAUGAUUAAUAAAAUUAGAUUCAAUUUUGCUUUCAUCAUUAUUAUUAUCCAUCUUUUUAUUAUUUUCAUAUCUUAUCAAAUUUUAGAUUUCAAUCUUAUUUUUCCCAAAAGAAAGGAAAAAAAACUCUUUCUUUUUUAAUUGUUCUUCUUAUGUUUUUAAUUCAGUUUUAAAAAAUCACAUUUGGUAGAAGUAGACGUUCAGUUUUUGACUAAAAUCAACAACUAUUAAUUACACUUGCUCCUAAAAACAAAGGAGGUUUGUUAUAAAUGAUGGAAAAAAAUGGAACUAUUCCAUAACAACAAACAAGUUUUUUAUUUGUUUGUCGUUUUGUGAUCUACCUUUCAUGAACAGAUCAUCAAUACUCAUCACGAAAUGGAUCCAUAAGAGCUAGUCACGAUACUAACAAUAUUUACAACUUCACAAUGUUAGUUACUUAUGAAAUUAGAGUUAUUACUAAAUGACCACAAGAGGAUAGAACAUACAUCAUUUAACAGUAAACAUCGUAUUAAACAACUAGCGUACUUUCAACUAAUCCAUGAGUCCAACCUAUGUAGUCGUCAAAGUACAAGAAUGGAUAGUAGAUGUUUCGUCAUUCUAUGCCAUUUACUUAGGACGACUGCUGGAUUAGUCGAAACAGAAGUUAUAGAUGUUGAGGAGAUAGUUACCAUGUUUCUGCACAUAUUAGCGCAUGAUGUGAAGAAUUGAAUGAUUCAAAGAGAAUUCGUACGGUUUGGUGAGGCUAUUUCUAGACAUUUCAACAUCGUCUUCUUGGCAAUUUUAUGCUUGCAUGAUGUGUAACGCCCCAAAGUAAGUAAUCUUUAAGUUUAAGUAUUCUAAGUUUAAUUUGACAAUUUGUAAUUUCGAGUGUUAUUUGGUUAAUUGGUUGAAUUAUUUGAUUUGUUAUUUGGAAGAAAUUUGGUUAAUUAUAUAAAUGAUUGUAUAAUUAAUUGAUUUUGAAGUUGGAUUAAUGAUAUAUUUUGUAAGGAAAAAUAUUUAUUUUGGGAAAGAUAAAAGUGAAUUGAUUGGAGUGAGGGAGAAUAUUUGAUUUUAAAAGAGGGGAUUUGUUGGGUUUUAAAUGAGGUGAGAGAAGAUUUUGAUAGGUUUAAUUAGGGAAAGAAGGAAAAGAAAGAGGAUAGUUUAAAAUAUAAUAAUAAUAAUAUUAUUAUUAUUAUUGUUUAAAUGUGGCAUGGGGAGUUGUGCCAUUUUCUUCCUUGGAAAAAAAAGGAGAAAGAAAAGAGAAAGGAAAAACCCUAACCCUAGCUCCUACAUUCGUCGCCGCCGUCACCGCCUCCACCUCCGUCCGCCGCUCUCCUCUGUCGUCAGCCGUUGCCCUACCCGAUACACAAGAUCCACGUCGUGCAGCCACAACCCGAGUCGAUCCUCCGUCUUCGACCGUCUCCUACUACACUGUUUCACCCCGCAGUCGUCGACGAGCCUCAUCGGUUGUCAAUCGCCGGCCAAGUCGAACACUCGAGCACCGUAAGUCAAUUCGUCUACCAUCACAUUGUCCCCGUCAACCGUCGUAUCGCUUUCGUUAGCCAUCGCCUCUUUCCGUCAAUCGAGCGUUGUUGACAGUCGAGUCGUCGCGAGUCGUCUCUGUCAGCGCGAGCCGUCGUCGUCAGCAAUCCACGCACGUGAAGUCUGGACCCCGCGCACGCACUUGUGCGAAGCUGCCGAGCCAGCGUCCGAGCUGCGCAACCCCAGUCGAGCCACCCCUGCGCGUGUGAGCCGCCUACCAGAGUCGAUUUUCUCUGCCUUAGUCGAGCCGAUCCUUGUCUUCCAAGCCGUUUUUGAGCCACCUAGCUUAUUCUUUGGUUUUUUCACCUAUUUUAGUAAGUCUCGAUUGAGUUUUGGAUUAGUGCUCGACAAAUAUUGAAUUUGGACUCUAGUUAAUGAAAUUUUGAUUGUGGAUUAAAUUGGUUAGAUUUAACUGGAAAUAGAGUUGGGAAUUUGUCCAACUAAGUGUAAAUCGAAUUUGGCCUCGAUUUUUGGGUAAGUUAAACCAACUGGACUUUUGGAUCCUUAAUCAUCUGCGAGUUAAUUAUUAAACUUAGUAUUUUAGCUUACUAUUUAGGAUUAUUCCUUGGAAGCUUGACCUUGUUGUUAGGAUUACCUUCGGUUUUAACUAAUCUCCAGGUAAGAGAUUCUACUACUAGACCCUCGAAAUGAAUUUAAGUGACCGUAUGUACUUAUAGUUAUACAUUUGGUUACACAUUAGUGAUAGCUAAAAUGUAUAACUGGAUGCUAUUGAUAAUGACUGUCAUUGUAUGGGUGAUUGAUGAUGAUAGCUGUUAACAUAUUUAUUACUGGUAGUAUAAUGAUGAUGACGACUGUGUUAUGUCUUUAAUGACAAUGUUUGAUUAGAAAUGUUAUGACCGAUACUUAUUCCAUGUUUAUGAUGAUGUAUGUUAUGUUACAUGCUAUGGUUUGGUUGUGCUGUUAACUUUAGCUAUUAGAGUCGUACCCGCAUGGGUGUCCUUCAGGAUCACCACUUUUUAUGACUAUGUAGUUCGACGGGGCCACCAGUCCAGUAUGACAUAGACAUAGACAUGAUUAUGAGUGAUUCGACGGGAUCACCCACAGCCCGAUUGUCUUAGUGUUUCCUUCGAAUACACUAAAGACCAGUUGUCCUAAGUGUUCCUUUGGGUUCACCGAAGACCAGAUAUGUUCCUACAGGAUCACAGAUUGCACGUGUUCGGGAACGUGCCAGAUUCAGGGCAAAGGUAGAGUUAAGGGUAGAGGGAAACUGACGAAUGACAAGAAGUGACCGUGGCGAGCCAUAGGGAUUGUUUUUGCUUCCGCCUUAUGUCAUUUGAUUAGAUGCAUUUCUUUUAUUUUAUUCAUUUUUCUUUGAAACUAGAUAGGGCCCGAGUUAGGAUUUUAUUUAAUUUUGUCCUUACAUACAUUCGUUUAUGAUUUUAAUGAGUAUUUGAGGUUUUGUUUUAUUUA
Molecule: long non-coding RNA, 5218 nt
Organism: Cucumis melo (muskmelon)
Lineage: Eukaryota; Viridiplantae; Streptophyta; Magnoliopsida; Cucurbitales; Cucurbitaceae
Exons: 2
Source: RefSeq, a predicted model, not a curated record